Alligator mississippiensis (American alligator) is the source of this 451-nucleotide long non-coding RNA. RefSeq lists it as uncharacterized. The record is from RefSeq and is a predicted model, not a curated record. The transcript has 3 exons. Lineage: Eukaryota; Metazoa; Chordata; Crocodylia; Alligatoridae.
AGCAGCCAGAGAGGCAGGAGCUCCUUCAGCCUUGAUGCGAGAAGCAGUGAGAACAGCAGGGUUAUAAGAAACAUUAUGUACCAAAGGAACUCCUAUCCAUUAUGGAGUGCUUGACUGGUUUUACAAAAGAAUCAAAAUGAGCUGUGGCUGUAAAGUAUUUCAUCCUCUUAGCAGAAAUAUUGUAGGCUCUUUCCUGAGUUACUGCCAAAAAAAUAAAUUAUAUACUGGAUUUUUAAUAUUGAUAGGUAACUCUUCCUAUCUUGAAUAGGAAGAUGUUUUCUUGUAUGUGCCUCUUAAUUACUGGAAAGGCCAGUAAUAGCCUUAUGUGCAUCAUUAAUAUUGUAGCUGAGAAAUAAAUGCCAUGCACUCAGGCUUGUCCUAAUUCAGUUUCUUCUGUGGACAGUCAUUUGAUAUAUCCCCAACAGGAUAUUAAAUUAUUAAUCUAACCAGA